CCUACGGGCGGCAGCAGUGGGGAAUAUUGCACAAUGGGGGGAACCCUGAUGCAGCAACGCCGCGUGGGUGAAGAAGUACUCCGGUAUGUAAAGCCCUGUCAGCAGGGAAGAAAAUGACGGUACCUGACCAAGAAGCCCCGGCUAACUCCGGGCCCGCAGCCGCGGUACUUCGGAGGGGGCAAUCGUUAUCCGGGUUUACUGGGUGUAAGGGGGGCGUAGACGGCAAGGCAAGUCUGGAGUGAAAGCCCGGGGCCCAACCACGGGACUGCUUUGGACACUGUGUUGCUGGAGUGCAGGAGGGGUAAGCGGAAUUCCUAGUGUAGCGGUGAAAUGCGUAGAUAUUAGGAGGAACACCGGUGGCGAAGGCGGCUUACUGGACUGUAACUGACGUUGAGGCUCGAAGGCGUGGGGAGCAAACAGGAUUAGAUACCCCAGUAGUC
This 440-nucleotide ribosomal RNA is filed under the name uncultured bacterium. Its description in RNAcentral is "partial 16S ribosomal RNA". It matches the Rfam family "Bacterial small subunit ribosomal RNA", at positions 338 to 795 of the family's 1533-position model. The record is from RNAcentral.